UACGGGGGGGGCAAGCGUUGUUCGGAAUUACUGGGCGUAAAGGGCUCGUAGGUGGCCAACUAAGUCAGACGUGAAAUCCCUCAGCUUAACCGGGGAACUGCGUCUGAUACUGGAUGGCUUGAGUUCGGGAGAGGGAUGCGGAAUUCCAGGUGUAGCGGUGAAAUGCGCAGAUAUCAGGAAGAACACCCGUGGCUAAGGCGGCUCUCUAGUACGGUACUGACGCUGAGACGCGAAAGCGUGGGGAGCGAACAGG
This 253-nucleotide ribosomal RNA is filed under the name uncultured bacterium. Its description in RNAcentral is "partial 16S ribosomal RNA". It matches the Rfam family "Bacterial small subunit ribosomal RNA", at positions 524 to 776 of the family's 1533-position model. The record is from RNAcentral.